Molecule: unclassified non-coding RNA, 309 nt
Filed under: uncultured fungus
Lineage: Eukaryota; Fungi
Description: sequence contains ITS1
Rfam family: 5.8S ribosomal RNA (bases 1-100)
Source: RNAcentral
GAAGUGCGACAAGUGUCAUGACUUGCAGAUUCCCGAGAGCUGACAAAUUUCUGAAUGCAAAUGGCGGCCACUAACACUGGCCAUGUAUUGCAGAGUGUAGUUGUUCCUACCGAUCAUCCCCCACUCCGACAUGUCUCGGAGUGCGGAUUGGGAUCUGCGCUUGCGACGCCCAAUGCGCGAGCGUGAAAAAUGGAGCGCCAAGUCGUUCACACGGCUUGGCGACUUCGGAAGACCUGUCUUCUAGGAGUUGUAUGCUCCAUCUACUUUCGACAGCCACCUCUGCGAUGCAGGAGAACCCGCUGAACUUAA